GACGAACGCUGGCGGCGUGCUUAACACAUGCAAGUCGAACGGUAAGGCCCUUCGGGGUACACGAGUGGCGAACGGGUGAGUAACACGUGGGUGAUCUGCCCUGCACUUCGGGAUAAGCCUGGGAAACUGGGUCUAAUACCGGAUAGGACCACUGCCUGCAUGGGUGGUGGUGGAAAGCUUUUGCGGUGUGGGAUGGGCCCGCGGCCUAUCAGCUUGGUGGUGGGGUGAUGGCCUACCAAGGCGACGACGGGUAGCCGGCCUGAGAGGGUGAUCGGCCACACUGGGACUGAGACACGGCCCAGACUCCUACGGGAGGCAGCAGUGGGGAAUAUUGCACAAUGGGCGCAAGCCUGAUGCAGCAACGCCGCGAGAGGGAUGACGGCCUUCGGGUUGUAAACCUCUUUUAGUAGGGAAGAAGCGAAAGUGACGGUACCUGCAGAAAAAGCACCGGCUAACUACGUGCCAGCAGCCGCGGUAA
Molecule: ribosomal RNA, 478 nt
Filed under: uncultured bacterium
Lineage: Bacteria
Description: partial 16S ribosomal RNA
Rfam family: Bacterial small subunit ribosomal RNA
Source: RNAcentral